GAUGAAGAACGCAGCGAAAUGCGAUACGUAAUGUGAAUUGCAGAAUUCAGUGAAUCAUCGAAUCUUUGAACGCAUAUUGCGCUCUCUGGUAUUCCGGAGAGCAUGCUUGUUUGAGUAUCAGUAAACACCUCAACUUCCAUAUCUUUUUUGAAAUGGGAGUUGGACUUGAGUGAUCCCAACGCUUUUCCUCACCGAAAAGUGGCGGGUUACUUGAAAUGCAGGUGCAGCUGGACUUUUCUCUGAGCUAUAAGCAUAUCUAUUUAGUCUGCCUAAAAAACAGAUUAUUACCUUUGCUGCAGCUAACAUAAAGGAGAUUAGUUCUUGUGCUGACUGAUGCAGGAUUCACAAAGACAGGCUUCGGCCGACUUUGUAAGCUCGAUCUCAAAUCAAGUAAGACUACCCGCUGAACUUAAGCAUAUCAAUAAGCGGAGGA
This 433-nucleotide unclassified non-coding RNA is filed under the name soil metagenome. RNAcentral's name for it is "partial contains 5.8S ribosomal RNA, internal transcribed spacer 2, and large subunit ribosomal RNA". The stretch from base 1 to 120 matches the Rfam family "5.8S ribosomal RNA", at positions 35 to 154 of the family's 154-position model. The record is from RNAcentral.